UACGAAGGGGGCUAGCGUUGUUCGGAAUUACUGGGCGUAAAGCGCACGUAGGCGGCUUUCUAAGUCAGGGGUGAAAUCCUGGAGCUCAACUCCAGAACUGCCUUUGAUACUGGGAAGCUCGAGUCCGGAAGAGGUGAGUGGAACUGCGAGUGUAGAGGUGAAAUUCGUAGAUAUUCGCAAGAACACCAGUGGCGAAGGCGGCUCACUGGUCCGGUACUGACGCUGAGGUGCGAAAGCGUGGGGAGCAAACAGG
Molecule: ribosomal RNA, 253 nt
Filed under: uncultured bacterium
Lineage: Bacteria
Description: partial 16S ribosomal RNA
Rfam family: Bacterial small subunit ribosomal RNA
Source: RNAcentral